This 52-nucleotide small nucleolar RNA is filed under the name Panthera tigris altaica (Amur tiger). Its description in RNAcentral is "Small nucleolar RNA SNORD20 (ENSPTIG00000000479.1)". It matches the Rfam family "Small nucleolar RNA SNORD20", at positions 24 to 75 of the family's 80-position model. From Rfam's summary of the family: U20 is a C/D box small nucleolar RNA that is encoded in intron 11 of the nucleolin gene in human, mouse and rat. Lineage: Eukaryota; Metazoa; Chordata; Mammalia; Carnivora; Felidae. The record is from RNAcentral.
AGAAGGGGAUGAUGGAAUCUCAAGAAAAUUCCUCUAGGUAGUUAAGUUCUGA